CAGCCUGGGGGGGAAGCCAAGAGAAACCCAAGCAAUGGCGCUUGCCAGCACUUCCGACCCUAGAGAGGGCUCUAGCAGUUUUCUGCCCACUUGGCAGAAGCUCUAAUAAUUGGAUAUCCUUCCCAUGUAGUCUUGAUUCCCUUUAAGCUGC
Molecule: non-coding RNA, 151 nt
Organism: Vicugna pacos (alpaca)
Lineage: Eukaryota; Metazoa; Chordata; Mammalia; Artiodactyla; Camelidae
Source: RefSeq, a predicted model, not a curated record